This is a long non-coding RNA of Solea senegalensis (Senegalese sole), 620 nucleotides long. RefSeq lists it as uncharacterized. The transcript is spliced from 3 exons. The record is from RefSeq and is a predicted model, not a curated record. Lineage: Eukaryota; Metazoa; Chordata; Actinopteri; Pleuronectiformes; Soleidae.
UCUUUGUGUGGCAGUAGUGAGCUGACGUCAGGUCGGUUCCUUGAAGUGGAGCUGAAUAAACCUUGAGAAGAGUCUCCUUCAAUCUGCUGUUAGUAACUAACACACACACACACACACACACUCACUCAGUCACUCACUCACACACCGAGACUCAAUUACUGCCCAAUUCCCUUCUUUAUCACUCGUCCUCGACCUCUUUCAUAACCAAAAGCGACUAUAGAGGGGGGAAAAGAAGAAGACCGAGUCGAAGUGUUAGCAGAACUAAAAAAAAACCACGUUGGAAAUAAGUAAGAGUCGAAACUAAACAAAAUAAGGUGUUACAGCAGUUAUGACAAGGAGCUGAAGACAUCUCUAACAACAGACCCUGAGCAGUGGUCUUGGUCCUGACUCCCUCUGGGGCAGUGAGUGGGUGAGACACGGCUAUCAACAACAAGCCCAGGCAGCUUCGGUUUCAGCCUCACCAACAAGGAAUCUACCCGUCGUGACAGGCACAGAUACACACACACACACACACACACUCCAAACACAAGCAUACGUCCAUGUACAACCACAGCCGUUAUUCUUUACCCCGGCUUAGCUCCUCCUUAAAUGAUAUCAGGUAACAAAAACGGGAGGUGAUG